GACGGAGGGUGCUAGCGUUGUUCGGAAUUACUGGGCGUAAAGGGCGCGUAGGCGGCCCUGUCAGUCGGGUGUGAAAGCCCGGGGCUCAACCCCGGAACGGCACCCGAGACGGCGGGGCUGGAGACCGGGAGAGGAGGGUGGAAUAGCCAGUGUAGAGGUGAAAUUCGUAGAUAUUCGCAAGAACACCAGUGGCGAAGGCGGCUCACUGGCCCGGUACUGACGCUGAGGUGCGAAAGCGUGGGGAGCAAACAGG
This 253-nucleotide ribosomal RNA is filed under the name uncultured bacterium. Its description in RNAcentral is "partial 16S ribosomal RNA". It matches the Rfam family "Bacterial small subunit ribosomal RNA", at positions 524 to 776 of the family's 1533-position model. The record is from RNAcentral.